RNAcentral lists this non-coding RNA (174 nucleotides) under Haemonchus placei. RNAcentral describes it as "Bacterial small subunit ribosomal RNA". It matches the Rfam family "Bacterial small subunit ribosomal RNA", at positions 1360 to 1533 of the family's 1533-position model. The record is from Rfam by way of RNAcentral. Lineage: Eukaryota; Metazoa; Nematoda; Chromadorea; Rhabditida; Trichostrongylidae.
CGGUGAAUACGUUCCCGGGCCUUGUACACACCGCCCGUCACACCAUGAGAGCCGGGAACACCCGAAGUCCGUAGUCUAACCGCAAGGAGGACGCGGCCGAAGGUGGGUUUGGUAAUUGGGGUGAAGUCGUAACAAGGUAGCCGUUCGAGAACGAGCGGCUGGAUCACCUCCUUU